RNAcentral lists this ribosomal RNA (521 nucleotides) under Staphylococcus aureus. RNAcentral's name for it is "bacterial SSU rRNA". It matches the Rfam family "Bacterial small subunit ribosomal RNA", at positions 1013 to 1533 of the family's 1533-position model. The record is from RNAcentral. RNAcentral also lists the same sequence under 1 other name. Lineage: Bacteria; Bacillati; Bacillota; Bacilli; Caryophanales; Staphylococcaceae.
UUCCCCUUCGGGGGACAAAGUGACAGGUGGUGCAUGGUUGUCGUCAGCUCGUGUCGUGAGAUGUUGGGUUAAGUCCCGCAACGAGCGCAACCCUUAAGCUUAGUUGCCAUCAUUAAGUUGGGCACUCUAAGUUGACUGCCGGUGACAAACCGGAGGAAGGUGGGGAUGACGUCAAAUCAUCAUGCCCCUUAUGAUUUGGGCUACACACGUGCUACAAUGGACAAUACAAAGGGCAGCGAAACCGCGAGGUCAAGCAAAUCCCAUAAAGUUGUUCUCAGUUCGGAUUGUAGUCUGCAACUCGACUACAUGAAGCUGGAAUCGCUAGUAAUCGUAGAUCAGCAUGCUACGGUGAAUACGUUCCCGGGUCUUGUACACACCGCCCGUCACACCACGAGAGUUUGUAACACCCGAAGCCGGUGGAGUAACCUUUUAGGAGCUAGCCGUCGAAGGUGGGACAAAUGAUUGGGGUGAAGUCGUAACAAGGUAGCCGUAUCGGAAGGUGCGGCUGGAUCACCUCCUUU